AACGAACGCUGGCGGCAUGCCUAACACAUGCAAGUCGAACGGGAUCCUGGCUUCGGCCAGGUGAGAGUGGCGGACGGGUGAGUAACGCGUGGGAACCUGCCCAUUGGUCUGGGAUAACUGCGGGAAACUGCAGCUAAUACCGGAUGUACCCGAGAGGGGAAAGAUUUAUCGCCGAUGGAGGGCCCGCGUCAGAUUAGGUAGUUGGUGAGGUAACGGCUCACCAAGCCUACGAUCUGUAGCUGGUCUGAGAGGAUGAUCAGCCACACUGGGACUGAGAUACGGCCCAGACUCCUACGGGAGGCAGCAGU
This 308-nucleotide ribosomal RNA is filed under the name uncultured bacterium. RNAcentral describes it as "bacterial SSU rRNA". It matches the Rfam family "Bacterial small subunit ribosomal RNA", at positions 29 to 355 of the family's 1533-position model. The record is from RNAcentral.